UGGCGGACGGGUGAGUAAUGUCUGGGAAACUGCCUGAUGGAGGGGGAUAACUACUGGAAACGGUAGCUAAUACCGCAUAACGUCGCAAGACCAAAAGAGGGGGACCUUCGGGCCUCUUGCCAUCGGAUGUGCCCAGAUGGGAUUAGCUAGUAGGUGGGUAACGGCUCACCUAGGCGACGAUCCCUAGCUGGUCUGAGAGGAUGACCAGCCACACUGGAACUGAGACACGGUCCAG
This 235-nucleotide ribosomal RNA is filed under the name uncultured bacterium. RNAcentral's name for it is "partial 16S ribosomal RNA". It matches the Rfam family "Bacterial small subunit ribosomal RNA", at positions 96 to 334 of the family's 1533-position model. The record is from RNAcentral.